GAUUUCUGAUUAAAUUCAUAUGCACAUUCUGAGAGCUCUGAAUCUUCUACUGGUGAAACUGAGGACCAAAUAGGACACUUGGACCACCUUGAAACCCUUGAGACUUGUAUAAUUGGAGAAUGAAGUCCAAUGCUCAAACUUGCUCUGUGUAGGCCCCUUCUGUUAAGGAGUGAGCAAUCAAACCCUGAUUUCUAAGUCACUAAUGCAGUAUGCAAUGAGUAUGACCUAAUAUGAUGCUAAUGCAGUGUGAAACAAAAUCC
This 260-nucleotide long non-coding RNA is filed under the name Lathyrus oleraceus (garden pea). RNAcentral's name for it is "Pisum sativum (pea) long non-coding RNA (PSAT_LNC025974)". The record is from RNAcentral. Lineage: Eukaryota; Viridiplantae; Streptophyta; Magnoliopsida; Fabales; Fabaceae.